GACGAACGCUGGCGGCGUGCUUAACACAUGCAAGUCGAACGGAAAGGCCCUGCUUUUGUGGGGUGCUCGAGUGGCGAACGGGUGAGUAACACGUGAGUAACCUGCCCUUGACUUUGGGAUAACUUCAGGAAAAUGGGGCGAAUACCGGAUAGGAGCUCCUGCUGCAUGGGGGGGGUUGGAAAGUUUCGGCGGUUGGGGAUGGACUCGCGGCUUAUCAGCUUGUUGGUGGGGUAGGGGCUUACCAAGGCUUUGACGGGUAGCCGGCCUGAGAGGGUGACCGGCCACAUUGGGACUGAGAUACGGCCCAGACUCCUACGGGAGGCAGCAGUGGGGAAUAUUGCACAAUGGGCGGAAGCCUGAUGCAGCAACGCCGCGUGCGGGAUGACGGCCUUCGGGUUGUAAACCGCUUUCGCCUGUGACGAAGCGUGAGUGACGGUAAUGGGUAAAGAAGCACCGGCUAACUACGUG
RNAcentral lists this ribosomal RNA (468 nucleotides) under uncultured bacterium. RNAcentral describes it as "partial 16S ribosomal RNA". It matches the Rfam family "Bacterial small subunit ribosomal RNA", at positions 28 to 507 of the family's 1533-position model. The record is from RNAcentral.